Molecule: ribosomal RNA, 466 nt
Filed under: Vreelandella stevensii
Lineage: Bacteria; Pseudomonadati; Pseudomonadota; Gammaproteobacteria; Oceanospirillales; Halomonadaceae
Description: partial 16S ribosomal RNA
Rfam family: Bacterial small subunit ribosomal RNA
Source: RNAcentral
CCUACGGGGGGCAGCAGUGGGGAAUAUUGGACAAUGGGGGGAACCCUGAUCCAGCCAUGCCGCGUGUGUGAAGAAGGCCCUCGGGUUGUAAAGCACUUUCAGUGAGGAAGAACGCCUGGUGGUUAAUACCCAUCAGGAAAGACAUCACUCACAGAAGAAGCACCGGCUAACUCCGUGCCAGCAGCCGCGGUAAUACGGAGGGUGCGAGCGUUAAUCGGAAUUACUGGGCGUAAAGCGCGCGUAGGUGGCUUGAUAAGCCGGUUGUGAAAGCCCCGGGCUCAACCUGGGAACGGCAUCCGGAACUGUCAAGCUAGAGUGCAGGAGAGGAAGGUAGAAUUCCCGGUGUAGCGGUGAAAUGCGUAGAGAUCGGGAGGAAUACCAGUGGCGAAGGCGGCCUUCUGGACUGACACUGACACUGAGGUGCGAAAGCGUGGGUAGCAAACAGGAUUAGAUACCCGAGUAGUCC